AAUAAGUGCAGUUUUGCACUAUUUAUGUUCAACGUUUGACCGUUCGUCUUAUUUGAAAUUUUUUUAUGAUUAGUAUUUUUAUUGCUAUUAGAUGAUAAAACAUGAAUAGUACUUUAUGUGUGACUAAAUAUUUUUAAAUUUUUCAUAAAUUUUUUUAAAUAAGACGGACGGUCAAACGUUGGGCACGGAUAUCCACGGCGGUACUUAUU
Molecule: non-coding RNA, 209 nt
Organism: Oryza glumipatula
Lineage: Eukaryota; Viridiplantae; Streptophyta; Magnoliopsida; Poales; Poaceae
Source: Rfam